AUUCCUUAAAAAUGUUCCAGAAUUUUGGUUUGAUAUAUAACUCUUGCCAAAAUUCACAAAACUAUUUUUAGGGCGUUUUGGAUUCACAGAAUGCUAUUUAAAGGGUGCUUGCCCUUCUUUUAAUCAGAUUUCUGAGGUUUCAACAAUCCUCAAUUCAAGUUUCAGAAAUUUAAACAUGAUGCAAGCAAGAUGCAAACACUAGGCAACACCAGAAGCUAGGGAUGUGACAGCUCACCCCUACUAAACAAGAAUCUCGUCCCGAGAUUCAAGUCGUGAGGUAAGAAGACAGAGGGACACAAGCUAUCACAAUCUUCAUGAUCCAGAUGUCUUUCUCGAGGAUGUUGAUUCAUUGCAUCACCUUGAUCUCGACGUCUUGCUUUGAGAACUACAUCCAACAUGACAAUGAGUGGAAAGGGAGAAUUUAAGAAGAAUCGACCUUCCUGAGGUUCGAGCAACUUAGGAUCAUCUUAAUGAUCACAAGAUCAACUCAUGGAAUGAGACAUAGUAACAUCUCUCGAGCUGAGACACGAAGCAUACACCUAGAGGGAUGGAGUGAAACGGAUGGCGAAGGUUCACUAGGUAGGCAACAAUUCUACUCGAAUAAGAUGGAGCAUGAAUUUCAAAGUAGCAAGGAGAUAUUUGCCAUGAUUUCGUAACGUGAUACCUCAGGGAAGGUGACUCAUAGAAUUAUUCCCUUAAGUGGCAAAAAGAAUUACUUUUGAUUCGGAGAUCAUUGAAACUCUUUAUACCAGCCUAAGGCAAUCACAAUCGAUCAUUUGAAGGAGUUCAAAAGAAUGACAUACUUGGACUAGAAAGGAUGAUGUGGACUCCCUUGUUGAAGACAACGCAAUGGAUGAUUUUGCUUAUCAUCGGAAAUGGAUGGGACCCAUGGUAAGUCCACUUUUGAAGAUGAUCCUGAACAACAACUACUGAGGUGCAAGCUGGGAACAAAAUGCAAAUGUUGGGAAUGAUUCUAGUAACUGGGGAAGAACUCAACAGUCGAGAGUGAGUCCAUUGUUUGAAAAGGUUAUAACAUAACCAAGGAAACUGGAAGCAAAUCCCAGUUGACGCCAACGGUAAAACCUAGUGCUCGCGCGUGCUCUCAAGAACUUGAGCAUCUCCAUAUUCAUCAAGGUUUUACCAAUAUCCGUGUCAAGGAUCCUGGCAACACAACAUACCACCAUGAUGAAUGGUGAUGGAUGAUGCAGAUGCAAAGGAAGAUAACACUUUCUCAGAUUUCACCUUAGCGAGGCCAAGGGAACAAAAUCUGGAUGAUCGACCGAGAGACAUUUAGCACUCCGCUUCUAAUGUUCUCCUUGAUGUGCUAGGAUAACCCAUUUAUUGAUAUGGUUUGGUAUCUAGGACAUCAAGUAAAAGGUCGAAGUUCGGGAGCACAAGAAUUCGUAAGGAUUAACUAUGGAGGUAAAUCCUAUGAAAUCCUCAUGGGGAGGUGGCCAACUUUCUUCAAUCGAGAUACUACAAUAAUAGGUCUUCCGGCUGGAUGUGUUGGCCACAACAUCCACUUUACCGGUUAUCGAGGGACCAAUAUUAUAGUUCUUGGAAAAUGCUCCAACCAUCAUAUCUGCCUGAGAUUCAGAUUUGGUUGGUGUUAGGAUAUUCCAGACUCAUCGAGUCUAGAAAGGAAAAUGAAAGUUUGCAACACAAAUCGACGAGACAACAUUGCGAGAUUCUCGGGGAAUGAACUGCGAUAGCAAGCUCCAAAACAUGAGCUAGUUCUGCUAUAACAUGUGAACACGUUGUCCCAGACAAGUAUGACCACAUAGUAGUCUUAUAAUAAAACACUACCGAGUUCUGGUGGGGAACUAUCAUUGAGGAUAUCGAAAUCUUGUGCAUGACCUAGGAUAGCACAACAACUCCUUUUCCUGGAACAGGUCAAUCAGUGGUUUAGUGUGCUAUGGAAUUUAUAUGGAAUGAAGAUGAUCAGUCCAUCAGACCAUGGAAUACUUCACACGUGCAUGACUGACUUGGGAUGAUUCCAGAGGAAGCAAAACUAACUUUCUCGAACUCACGGCGGCAACUUGCACCAAAUGCACGUGAAUCAGAGGAAGUCACUUCUUUCAUCCAACAUAUGCUUCAUGAGCUAGCAUGAAGAGAUGCUUUCAAAAGUUUCCAACACUCGCUUAAUGUUCGACAAAAUCAUGGAGAGGACAUGGAUGUUGUCGAUGGGCUCAACAACAGUUCAUCUAGGUUUCCAUAUAAAUGGAAUUCCAUAAUUAAGUGAACACGGUGAUAGCAUUGGUCAGACCCAAAGAAUAUAAUGAUGUAUGCUCGAGGAAUCAACCACGAGUAAGACAACAUUACGAAUAUCGUUGGUUCUGAUUUGAUUUGACGAUAGCCCACACUCAAAUCAAAGUUUGGGUAAGACAAUAGCACCGACAAUUGAUCACGAGGAUCAAUUGCUGAAGAUAUCAUCUUUCUUCAACACACACGCAAGAUAUCCCUUUGGAAUGGACUGAGUCGGACAAGUUUUUAUCUUUCAACUCUCCAAGUUGUUGUUUAGCUUAACGAACUUGCUCAGGGUAUUCGACACAGAUUCUUGGAGAAAGGACGGUUUGGAGGAAAACCAACAUGAUCACAAACUCAACAUAGCGGGCAGGUGACAACCUGGUAAUACUUCCAAGAAGAUAUUCAGAACAUCACGAACCACCGAUAUGUUACUAAGCUCAAGAACAAUCUUGCUUUUCAGGGCAAGACAAUGUGAUCAGGAGAGUGAUGGAUUGACACACUCCUAACUCAUUGGUCGAAGAGUGCACCAGAAACACUGAUUAGGUAGCACAAUCUACCUUAGAACGAUGAUUCAAUAACCAACAUGCUAAUAAUGAAGUUAUUGUCCUUUAACUACCAAGCAACGGGGUUGCUAGGAGUAUUGAUUUCACACAUCACGAUUCACUUGUCGACAUUCCGGUUGCAACAACACGGAAACCGAGAAAUGAAUAAUGAUGGAGAGAGUAUCACUACGUCAAGAAUUCAUAAGAGGUGGUGCAAUUCUCAUGACAUUCUUGACAUAAGACGGUAAUUCUUCAGGAUAGAACAUAAUCAAAAGCUGGGUUGGCAUUUGAUCUGCGGAAUACAACUGCUUUGACCCAAUCCAAAAAAAUGGAUAAGGUACCAGAGUUUGGUUCUCCUAGUCAUUCUGAACUAGAAUGGCUUGACGGACCACAAGAAUAGUAAACAUCGAUAACACGGAUGCACAAUUACUCUUGAUCAACAAUUGACAGACGAAGGUCAGAUAACAGCUAAAGAGGGACAACUCAAAGUAACAUAUAUCUUUCUGAGUUGUAGAUGCAUCGAUUAGCAUGUCGAACGCGUUCAACAUAAUUCUUCCGGAUAACCCAUGCAGAAGGGUAGAGCUGGCAGAGUCACAAUAUAGAAUCGAGAACUCAUCAAGAGCUUUGGUCGUGAUCUUUGGUUCAAGAACUUCUGCCAUAUUGGUUCAUGGUACUGGAAGAAUGAUGUACCAUGAACCUCAAGGUCUAUCACAAGGUUUACUAAUGUCCUAAGGAACUAGCAAACACUAUCAACAUGAAGCAAGUAGGGUGAGUCUCGGGUUCAAAACCCAGGAAUAGAAUGCCUACUAACUAAAUGGCAUCACGGGAUGCUUUCAAGAAUAACGGCCAGAAUCAUCACACUGGAAACGCAAAACAUGGUUCGAUUACUAGGUGGCACUAAGACAUCUAGGGUCAUAAUAAUAAUUCCAACAUAUAUGUCGAGGAAAUAGAAUACCUCAACUCACAAUUAGUGUGAUUAACCUGGCCUAGAGGAACAUCGAAAACCAGAGGGAAAGGAUUUUGCAAAUGCAUCAGAUUGUUUGGAAACCUGGGACGACUCGGACAGCAUAACGACUGUAAAUGCUCAAAAAGUUUUGAGACAUCCUGCAAAUUGGUGGCAUAACCACUCAGAAGCACAAUAUCAAGGUUCCGAGACCAACUAUGAACAAACGGAAGUAGUAGGAACUGAACUGAGGCUUAAAUCCAUCAAUCCUAUAAGUCUCUAUCAUAGUAACUCGUCAUCCUGAAGAUAGAUGAGAAGGCCUAGUUCUUAAUCCCCGUAGAAGAGAAGAGGUUGACUUAGAUCAGAAGGCCAUGAGGUAUAAGAAGUGAAUAGAGCCUUACGUUCCCUUCCACAAUCAAUUCCCUUAUAUGACUAAAGCAUUUCUAGUCUCAACUUCGACCAGUAUGGCUUGGUAAUCCUACAGGCAGUCAGGCUCUGAUACCAAAGCUGUCAAGACCCCGAUCCUAAGUCACACCGGUCUAGCAUGUAACACAUCAUAUCACUUUGCAGCCUCACGCAUGGUAUUCCCACGGGUGCCACCUUACCUGGCCCGGGACCGUUUGCGCCUUUUGGCUCGCGUAUAUGAUAGUGUCGCUAGCAUCCAUAUGACAAAGAACCUGGGCCGACAUGGCUAGUCGUGAACCCAAAGCGGCACUAACCCAUGGGGACAGGCAUACAUGAAUCAACCUCGAGCAUGUCGGUCAACAGCGUGUGAAUCCGGGCUAUAGCACUGGGCUAACAGGACUCUGGUAACCCGGGCUGUAGCAGGCUAGGCAGGACUCCGGAUGUCACCGCGUGACAUUUCCCCGAAGGGACAGACACAGGAGCGAAGUGAAACACAUGCCGGCCAGUCAAGUGUCCUGAGCAGUAGUGCUGGGCUAGCAGGACUCCGGUGAACCGGGCUGUAGCGGACUACUAUGGCUCAUGGAAGCACUAGACUACAUUUCCCCAUAAGAGAGGCUGCCAAGGAUAAACAACUAGAUUGUCGGAUCCCACACAUACCAAGCAUUUCAAUCAUACACACAAUAUGCUCGAUAUGUGUAAAUACAACAUGGCAUCACAACAAGACUCUACGACUCAAGUAUUUAUUCAUUAGGCUCCGAGGAGCGAGAUAUUACAAACAAGGGUCUCAUGACCCAACAUUCAGAGCAUACAAGUCAAAACACAUGCGGAAGCUUAACAUGUCUGAGUACAAACAUCUACAAAUGAAAAAGGCUGACAAGCCUGACUAUCUACCAGAUCCUGCUGAGGGCACAAGAUCGUAGCUGAGGUAUCAAGCUAAACAUCGAAGUCCAAGCGGAACUACUAGCGGGACUGAAGUCUCUCUGCAAAACAUAAAUUAAGCAAACGUGAGUACAAAUGUACUCAGCAAGACUUACAUUAGAACUAACUACAUAUGCAUCAUUAUCAAUGAAGGGAUGGUGGAGUUUAACUGCAGCAAGCCAGCUUUGACUCGGUGGCUAUCCUGAACUACGACUGCAAGUAACUCUUCUGAGGUGGCGCACACGAGUCCACAUAUUCACCAUAUCAAUACACCACUAUGGAUCCGCUCCCGUCUCCCUGCGAGAACGCCAUCCAUAGCACUCACACUUAUCUUGCGCAUUUUAGAGUAUCCACUUUCGCUUGUCUAUGAACUAUGCAAGGGGUCGAAGUUUCCAUAUCCAAGGAAUCCGGCUAUUCGAAUAGAUAAUGAUAACCCUGCAGGGGUGUACUUCUUCACACACGCUCUCUCCACUUAUCGCCAUGUACACGUCAUGUACCUCGGCAACCUUCAAGCGGAAGUCGGGCGAGGGAGUCGGCCACGACCUGACUAACCCACAAGUCACUAGUCCAGGUUUAUCGCCUAUUUGGGUUCCAUCCGCAAGGAGAUCCAGCCGGGGUGUCACUCACGGCCCCAAACGAUGUGAGCAGGAUUCCCAAGCCCACCAUCUGGGUGCCACUUGGUACACCGUGCCACAGUGCCUAGUCUGUCCCAAGCCCACCUGUACCGGGUGCCACUUGGUAGACUACUAACACUACCUACAAACACCAGAAACUAGUUGCAACUCUUGGACAGAGAUCGAGUUGAUUAAUAAGCCGAGAGGGGCCGAGUUACCGGAACCCAAUGUCUGGUAGUAACUGUUCAUGGAUCACAAACACAGGACUCAGUUCCUGAGGACGGCUGCAAUGAGACAACCCACCAUGUACUCCUACAUGGCCUCUCACCGCUACCUUUACCAAAUCGUGUUCACACACUUAGCUCUCAACGGUAGGACAUGUUCACCACGUUCCAAUUCAUUCCCGAUGAAUCAGACCGGACUCAACUCUAAGCAGUAGCAGGCAUGACAACAAGCAUGAAUGAGUAGGCACAUCAGGGCUCAAACAAUUCCUACUCAUGCUAGUGGGUUUCAUCUAUUUACUGUGGCAAUGAUAGGUCAUGCCGAGGAAAAGGGUUCAGCUACCGCAACAUGUAACAGUUGAAACGGUGUUGUACUAAUGCAGUAAAAGAGAGCAGGAGCAAGAGAGUGGGAUUGUAUCAGAAUGAACAAGGGGGUUUUGCUUGCCUGGCACUUCUUAAGAUAGUAUAGUUCUUCGUCGGUGUCAUCGAUCAAUUUACCGGAACGUCAUCUACUGAGAGGGGACAAACACCGGCAACAAAGAGGAAACACAAUCAAUGCAAUGCAACAAUAUGAUGCAUGAAUGUGACAUGGCAAUAAUGUUAUGAUUUGCACUAAUGCAUCUAGCAACAAUUUAAAUGAAGUCCAUAUGGACCAAGGGUUCAUAUGCAAACUCGAUAUUUAGCAUUUAAAAUGCCAUUAUCAUGUUUUCACUUAUACAGUGGGCAGAAGUUGGUUGAUCAUGCAUGAAAGUAGCAUAAAUGGAUAGAUUGUAUUUUUCUAAUAAUUUUUCCUAUAUAAAUUAUUUCAUUUGGAGUUACGGUUGAAUUUCUAUGAUUUUUAGAAGUUUUAACUAUUUUCGGGAAUUUACUGAUUAUUAAUAAAUCUAGAAAAUGUAUUACUGCGUCAGCAUUGGGUCAUGCUGACGUCAGCAGGUCAACAGGAGCCUUCCAGGUCAAACCUGUGGGGCCAGGUCAACGUUGACGUGGCAUGGUCAACUGAUGUGUGGCGCCGGCCGUCUUAAUCUAAACUAAACAGAAAAUAACUCUGGGGUUAGUUAGGCGUGGGGCCCAGCAGUCGGUGUCACCAGGGGGUAAUUAGCGGAGAUGUUAGCGGCUAACGAUGUUGACCGUCAGCACACCGGAGUUUUGGCCGGCGGUGACCUCAAACCGCGGCGGCGUCCGCCGGAGUUGCGCCAGAGGCGACGGGUCGACACGUCGAGGUCAACAGGAGGUAGCCCGUGCCCGCGCACAUCCAGGGGAACCAACAGAAGGGCGCGGGGUGGCCGGAGUUCACCGGAAGCGAGCUCGUGGCGGCGGCCGGAGUUCGGGAGCAGAUGGUUUCGGGGCAAGAGAGCAUGGGAGGGGGAGAUACUGGUGGCUACGGGUUCGCGGAGACGCGCUGAGCACACUGGUGUGCUCGGACACAGGCUACAGUGCCCAUGGCCGCGGCGAGGAGCUGACGGCUUCCGUGGAAGAUGCGGCUAGAGGACGGGAACGAGGGCGUCUCUGUGGCACGGCUGGAAGCACCGAGAUGCCGUGAGGUGGCAAGCAGGAGGUGGAGCUCCUGUGUGCGAUGCUGCUGGCACGCAGCUGCUUCGGGGCGAGGGGAGGAAGACGACGGGGAGGUGGAGGUGGGCUGGGCCGGUACGGUAGCGGGCCGCGUAGGUGGGCUGGCCUCUCUGGUGGGCUUCACAGGUGAGGCCAGGUAAAAACUGCUCUGUUUUAUUAUCUGUGUUGUUUUCCUUUUAUUUAAUCAUUUUGCCACUGAUUCAAAAUCACAAGUAAAUCAAAGCAGGGCAAAACCUUCUGAAUAUUUGUAUGUUGCCAUUAUGGACUAUUCCAAAGGCACAUAAAUAAUUUUAGGGCCUUUUAAAAUAUAUUCUAUAUAAUUGAAUAUAAUCCAAAAGUCAAAUACUUAUUGAUUUAAAUUCAGAGUCCCAAAAAUAAUUCCUUAAAAAUGUUCCAGAAUUUUGGUUUGAUAUAUAACUCUUGCCAAAAUUCACAAAACUAUUUUUAGGGCAUUUUGGAUUCACAUAAUGCUAUUUAAAGGGUGCUUGCCCUUCUUUUAAUCAGAUUUCUGAGGUUUCAACAAUCCUUAAUUCAAGUUUCAGAAAUUUAAACAUGAUGCAAGCAAGAUGCAAACACUAGGCAACACCAGAAGCU
This 8053-nucleotide long non-coding RNA is filed under the name Triticum aestivum (bread wheat). RNAcentral's name for it is "long non-coding RNA (TAES_LNC010061)". The record is from RNAcentral. Lineage: Eukaryota; Viridiplantae; Streptophyta; Magnoliopsida; Poales; Poaceae.